UUUGAAAUCUGGUAGCCUUCGGCUGCCCGAGUUGUAAUCUAGAGAAGUGUUUUCCGUGCCGGCCCAUGUACAAGUCCCUUGGAACAGGGCGUCAUAGAGGGUGAGAAUCCCGUCCUUGACAUGGACCCCCGGUGCUUUGUGAUACACUUUCAACGAGUCGAGUUGUUUGGGAAUGCAGCUCAAAAUGGGUGGUGAAUUCCAUCUAAAGCUAAAUAUUGGCGAGAGACCGAUAGCGAACAAGUACCGUGAGGGAAAGAUGAAAAGCACUUUGGAAAGAGAGUUAAACAGUACGUGAAAUUGUUGAAAGGGAAACGAUUGAAGUCAGUCAUGCUCUUUGGAUUCAGCCGUUCUGCGGUGUAUUUCCAUUGAGUGGGGUCAACAUCAGUUUUGACCGCUGGAUAAAGGCACUAGGAAGGUAGCACUCUCGGGUGAACUUAUAGCCUAGCGUCAUAUACAGUGGUUGGGACUGAGGAACGCAGCAUGCCUUUAUGGCCGGGAUUCGUCCACGUACAUGCUUAGGAUGUU
RNAcentral lists this ribosomal RNA (525 nucleotides) under Naganishia uzbekistanensis. Its description in RNAcentral is "eukaryotic LSU rRNA". It matches the Rfam family "Eukaryotic large subunit ribosomal RNA", at positions 114 to 627 of the family's 3401-position model. Lineage: Eukaryota; Fungi; Basidiomycota; Tremellomycetes; Filobasidiales; Filobasidiaceae. The record is from RNAcentral.